CUUGACAUCUCAUUGUAGCAUGUUAUUUGGUUUUGUGUACACCUCUGUCAUUGGGAGUCAUAAUAAUCAUAGUAAUUUUAUUUAUUUAGGAAUUUAUAUUGUACCAAGAUAAUUCACAUAUAUUAGGUCAUUUAAUUAUUACACAAUUGUAUGAGGAAGAGGCUAUCUAUUUUAUUGGAAAUAAAACUGAGACUCGGAGAAUUUAUUAGGGACUAAUGCCCAUAAAAGAGAAAGUGGAGAGGGAAGAGGAAUAGGAGGGGACAGCAUCAGAUUACAAUGUAGUUCUGACCCCUGUGGAAGGAAGGAAGGAAAGAAGGAAGGAAGGAAGGAAGGUAGGUUGAGGAGAAAGAGACUCAGGAUUACAACUUUGAGAUAGUUUCAGCCAGCAUAGCAGAGAUGAGCUUGACUUGGGCAGAAAUGGCCAGGCCUUAGUACCUGGGGUGCAUUUCAUUUCCUGAAGUCAUUACAGGUGGAGGCUGUCAGCCAACUGCACUCCUAUGUAGGUUCUCUCUUAAAGAGGAACGGGAGCAGUGAGGUACCAUGGCACCUACAGUGGGGGACUUCUGUUUGGAAGUAGGGGUUGAUCCACAAGCGUUAAAAGGACACUGGACCAUUUGUUGAGGUCUUGUGAUGUCCCGAGUACUGUUUCUGUCCUUUGAUCUCCUAGGCAGAUGGCAGAAUGCCCUCUUGUGUCACCCCAUAUUCCUGUGUUCAUGAUUCAUUGUAAUUAUCUGACUGACUGCUUUUUCCACCAGGAUCCACGAUCCUUGAUAGCAGGACUAUAUUAUUUUUGUACCUCAAACUUUUUGGCAGAGCCUGGCCAAUAUUCACUCAUUCAUCCUCUCUAUAAAAUUUAUGAAAGAAAGGAGAGAUCCUAUGCAGGAAGGAGGGCAGAAGAAAUUGCUGGAAUGCAAUUUCAGAAGAGAAGCAUGGUCUCCUUAUUGAUGCAGUCAGAUAUAAAAUUAAGAGAAAGAAAGGUUCUACAAGUGAACUGGACAGAAGAUGCGUAUGUUGAGGCAACUGUGGAACCAUAAGGUACGGAGAUAGUUUCUACUAUAUGAUCCCAUUCUCACUUCACUAUUUCCUUCUGUGAAAUAAAACAAGUUUUGGAAAUGAAAUUUUUAAGAAGGAUUAUUUUUUACUGAUAGACAUGAGUAAUCCUGUAGGUCACACAGAGUGAGAGCCAGCAGAUGUAAUGAAUGUGUCCAUUUUGUUCCCUUUCCACCAUCACUCUGGUCAAAUAUGCCAUCCUUUCUUGCUGAACAACCAUAGUUAGCUUCUACUUUCAUCCGCUUUUUUCUUGAAUGUAAUGUACAAGCUAACUGUCAUCUUUGACUCUUCCUUUUCCCAUACCUUCCAUCUGAUGAGCCAAUGUAUCACACUAAGUCUACCCUCAACAUUG
Long non-coding RNA from Ailuropoda melanoleuca (giant panda), 1402 nucleotides. RefSeq lists it as uncharacterized. The record is from RefSeq and is a predicted model, not a curated record. NCBI's taxonomy places the organism in Eukaryota, Metazoa, Chordata, Mammalia, Carnivora, Ursidae. The transcript has 3 exons.